GACGAACGCUGGCGGCGUGCUUAACACAUGCAAGUCGAACGGUGAAGCGCCUUCCUUUUUGGUGGGAGUGGAUGAGUGGCCAACGGGUGAGUAACACGUGAGUAACCUUCCCCCUCCUUCUGGAUAACCGCAUGAAAGUGUGGCUAAUACGGGAUAUUUUGGGUCUGUCGCAUGAUGGGUCUGGGACAGAUAUUGUUUCGGUGGGGGAUGGGCUCGCGGCCUAUCAGCUUGUUGGUGGGGUGAUGGCCUACCAAGGCGGUGACGGGUAGCCGGCCUGAGAGGGUGGACGGCCACAGAGGUAAGGCGACGCGCAGAAGACUACGGCGGGAGGCAGUAGGGGAGAUUAUGCCAGGGGGGAAGGACUGACGGUGCAGCGCCGCGGGGGGAGGGAUGGUGUCCUGAGGGUAGAAAACCUUUAUCGGGGGAGAAGAAGGGUGGCAUUGUGUGUGGGUGGGUUGACGGUAGCUGAACAGAAAGCCACGGCUAACUACGUG
RNAcentral lists this ribosomal RNA (494 nucleotides) under uncultured bacterium. RNAcentral describes it as "partial 16S ribosomal RNA". It matches the Rfam family "Bacterial small subunit ribosomal RNA", at positions 28 to 507 of the family's 1533-position model. The record is from RNAcentral.